RNAcentral lists this long non-coding RNA (659 nucleotides) under Vigna radiata. Its description in RNAcentral is "long non-coding RNA (VRAD_LNC016779)". The record is from RNAcentral. Lineage: Eukaryota; Viridiplantae; Streptophyta; Magnoliopsida; Fabales; Fabaceae.
CUAACCAUAGUAGGGUUAACAUUAAAUUUAUUAAGUGUGUAUUUAUAUAGUUUAAGUGUUAUAUUACUAAAUAUUGUUCUCCAUAUGAGUAAUAUUUGAUGAGGCAUGUGAACAAAUAUUCCUAUAAGAUUAUGUUUGUUGUUUCAACUUUCUUUUUAAUGUUUCUACCUUUUUUGUAAUGAUUGAUAUUUGUUUUANGAGAAAAGUGAUUAUAAUGUUANGAUAAUCAAAUGAGUUUUUUGCAUAAGAAGGUUAAGAAAUUUUGGAAGUUGAAAAGUUAGAACGGUUAAUGUGCUGUUUUAUUAUAGAUAAAUUUUAAAAUCUAUUCUUCUUACUUUUUAAAUGCAUUAAGGUUAAGAAGUNUAUUACAUCAAGGUGAUUUUGGCUGUAGCUUUUGUCAGUUAUUUUCUUUUUGUUUUUCUAUUGAGUUUUGAGCUGCUAUAUUAUAUCCAUGAGUUCAUUUUAAAAAUUAAUUUGUUUAUAGAGAAAAAAAACAAGGUGAAGAACCUAAUCAUAUAUCAUAUACCAUUAUGCCAAUGAAUUUGAUUUGAAGUCUGUUGGAAAAAUGUUUGCAUAAUUAAUAUCAAUAACACUGUUGUUUUACCAUAAAACAAAAUUUAGUGUAAAAAAAGUAUGUAAUUUUUNACUCUAUCACCUUU